This 946-nucleotide ribosomal RNA is filed under the name Staphylococcus aureus. RNAcentral's name for it is "partial 23S ribosomal RNA". It matches the Rfam family "Bacterial large subunit ribosomal RNA", at positions 1603 to 2550 of the family's 2925-position model. Lineage: Bacteria; Bacillati; Bacillota; Bacilli; Caryophanales; Staphylococcaceae. The record is from RNAcentral.
CACUGCCGAGAAAAGCCUCUAGAUAGAAAAUAGGUGCCCGUACCGCAAACCGACACAGGUAGUCAAGAUGAGAAUUCUAAGGUGAGCGAGCGAACUCUCGUUAAGGAACUCGGCAAAAUGACCCCGUAACUUCGGGAGAAGGGGUGCUCUUUAGGGUUAACGCCCAGAAGAGCCGCAGUGAAUAGGCCCAAGCGACUGUUUAUCAAAAACACAGGUCUCUGCUAAACCGUAAGGUGAUGUAUAGGGGCUGACGCCUGCCCGGUGCUGGAAGGUUAAGAGGAGUGGUUAGCUUCUGCGAAGCUACGAAUCGAAGCCCCAGUAAACGGCGGCCGUAACUAUAACGGUCCUAAGGUAGCGAAAUUCCUUGUCGGGUAAGUUCCGACCCGCACGAAAGGCGUAACGAUUUGGGCACUGUCUCAACGAGAGACUCGGUGAAAUCAUAGUACCUGUGAAGAUGCAGGUUACCCGCGACAGGACGGAAAGACCCCGUGGAGCUUUACUGUAGCCUGAUAUUGAAAUUCGGCACAGCUUGUACAGGAUAGGUAGGAGCCUUUGAAACGUGAGCGCUAGCUUACGUGGAGGCGCUGGUGGGAUACUACCCUAGCUGUGUUGGCUUUCUAACCCGCACCACUUAUCGUGGUGGGAGACAGUGUCAGGCGGGCAGUUUGACUGGGGCGGUCGCCUCCUAAAAGGUAACGGAGGCGCUCAAAGGUUCCCUCAGAAUGGUUGGAAAUCAUUCAUAGAGUGUAAAGGCAUAAGGGAGCUUGACUGCGAGACCUACAAGUCGAGCAGGGUCGAAAGACGGACUUAGUGAUCCGGUGGUUCCGCAUGGAAGGGCCAUCGCUCAACGGAUAAAAGCUACCCCGGGGAUAACAGGCUUAUCUCCCCCAAGAGUUCACAUCGACGGGGAGGUUUGGCACCUCGAUGUCGGCUCAUCGCAUCCUGG